AGAGUUUGAUCAUGGCUCAGAUUGAACGCUGGCGGCAGGCCUAACACAUGCAAGUCGAACGGUAACAGGAAACAGCUUGCUGUUUCGCUGACGAGUGGCGGACGGGUGAGUAAUGUCUGGGAAACUGCCUGAUGGAGGGGGAUAACUACUGGAAACGGUAGCUAAUACCGCAUAACGUCGCAAGACCAAAGAGGGGGACCUUCGGGCCUCUUGCCAUCGGAUGUGCCCAGAUGGGAUUAGCUUGUUGGUGGGGUAACGGCUCACCAAGGCGACGAUCCCUAGCUGGUCUGAGAGGAUGACCAGCCACACUGGAACUGAGACACGGUCCAGACUCCUACGGGAGGCAGCAGUGGGGAAUAUUGCACAAUGGGCGCAAGCCUGAUGCAGCCAUGCCGCGUGUAUGAAGAAGGCCUUCGGGUUGUAAAGUACUUUCAGCGGGGAGGAAGGGAGUAAAGUUAAUACCUUUGCUCAUUGACGUUACCCGCAGAAGAAGCACCGGCUAACUCCGUGCCAGCAGCCGCGGUAAUACGGAGGGUGCAAGCGUUAAUCGGAAUUACUGGGCGUAAAGCGCACGCAGGCGGUUUGUUAAGUCAGAUGUGAAAUCCCCGGGCUCAACCUGGGAACUGCAUCUGAUACUGGCAAGCUUGAGUCUCGUAGAGGGGGGUAGAAUUCCAGGUGUAGCGGUGAAAUGCGUAGAGAUCUGGAGGAAUACCGGUGGCGAAGGCGGCCCCCUGGACGAAGACUGACGCUCAGGUGCGAAAGCGUGGGGAGCAAACAGGAUUAGAUACCCUGGUAGUCCACGCCGUAAACGAUGUCGACUUGGAGGUUGUGCCCUUGAGGCGUGGCUUCCGGAGCUAACGCGUUAAGUCGACCGCCUGGGGAGUACGGCCGCAAGGUUAAAACUCAAAUGAAUUGACGGGGGCCCGCACAAGCGGUGGAGCAUGUGGUUUAAUUCGAUGCAACGCGAAGAACCUUACCUGGUCUUGACAUCCACGGAAGUUUUCAGAGAUGAGAAUGUGCCUUCGGGAACCGUGAGACAGGUGCUGCAUGGCUGUCGUCAGCUCGUGUUGUGAAAUGUUGGGUUAAGUCCCGCAACGAGCGCAACCCUUAUCCUUUGUUGCCAGCGGUC
RNAcentral lists this ribosomal RNA (1129 nucleotides) under Escherichia coli P0299917.4. Its description in RNAcentral is "bacterial SSU rRNA". It matches the Rfam family "Bacterial small subunit ribosomal RNA", at positions 8 to 1126 of the family's 1533-position model. The record is from RNAcentral. Lineage: Bacteria; Pseudomonadati; Pseudomonadota; Gammaproteobacteria; Enterobacterales; Enterobacteriaceae.